RNAcentral lists this transfer RNA (57 nucleotides) under Triparma pacifica. Lineage: Eukaryota; Bolidophyceae; Parmales; Triparmaceae. The record is from RNAcentral.
UAUCGUGACACCCCUGGAACCAUCACAAUCCACAAUACAUGCCCUUCUCCCUACUCC